GACGUAGGGGGCCAGCGUUGUUCGGAAUUACUGGGUGUAAAGGGUUCGUAGGCGGUGCGGCAAGUUGGGAGUGAAAUCUCUGGGCUUAACCCAGAGGCUGCUUCCAAAACUGCUGUGCUUGAGUGUGGGAGAGGCGCGUGGAAUUCCAGGUGUAGCGGUGAAAUGCGUAGAUAUCUGGAGGAACACCGGUGGCGAAGGCGGCAUCCUGGACCGACACUGACGCUGAGGAGCGAAAGCCAGGGGAGCAAACGGG
Molecule: ribosomal RNA, 253 nt
Filed under: uncultured bacterium
Lineage: Bacteria
Description: partial 16S ribosomal RNA
Rfam family: Bacterial small subunit ribosomal RNA
Source: RNAcentral